AUUGAACGCUGGCGGCAGGCCUAACACAUGCAAGUCGAGCGGAUGAAGGGAGCUUGCUCCUGGAUUCAGCGGCGGACGGGUGAGUAAUGCCUAGGAAUCUGCCUGGUAGUGGGGGAUAACGUCCGGAAACGGGCGCUAAUACCGCAUACGUCCUGAGGGAGAAAGUGGGGGAUCUUCGGACCUCACGCUAUCAGAUGAGCCUAGGUCGGAUUAGCUAGUUGGUGGGGUAAAGGCCUACCAAGGCGACGAUCCGAAACUGGUCUGAGAGGAUGAUCAGUCACACUGGAACUGAGACACGGUCCAGACUCCUACGGGAGGCAGCAGUGGGGAAUAUUGGACAAUGGGCGAAAGCCUGAUCCAGCCAUGCCGCGUGUGUGAAGAAGGUCUUCGGAUUGUAAAGCACUUUAAGUUGGGAGGAAGGGCAGUAAGUUAAUACCUUGCUGUUUUGACGGUACCAACAGAAUAAGCACCGGCUAACUUCGUG
This 484-nucleotide ribosomal RNA is filed under the name uncultured bacterium. RNAcentral describes it as "partial 16S ribosomal RNA". It matches the Rfam family "Bacterial small subunit ribosomal RNA", at positions 30 to 507 of the family's 1533-position model. The record is from RNAcentral.